AGUCCCUUGUAAAUAUAGUAUGAGUACGACAAUAUUCGAAAGAUAUUUCAUUUAAUAAAUGAAAUAAAAUCAAUUCGAACUAGGUAAUGGGUGACAUUAAUUUUUAUGUGCAAUCACAAACCCAAUGAAUACAAUGUCACAUUAAAGCAUUCAGUAGUGAAUGUAGAGAUGGAUGGAUUGCAUCCCCUUUUUGGGUUGAACUUUUUAUAAUUGAAAUACAUCCCUCCACUUGUUUUGUAGGAUGCCCAGGUAAUAUCACUUUGCACUUUGUUUGGAGUCAAACAGGAUGAUGCGUCAGAGUUGAUGGGAAUCUGAUCCUCGUUAAUUAAAAAGUGUCGCUCACUGAUCCUCGUGGCUUGUCACAAAUCUCAGUGUCUCUUUUUAGUUUCAGUGUCCAAAUUCUUCGAAAUUUAGGGUCUUUUGGGAAAAGAACAUACUUAAUCCCUGUUCCGAUUUCACAUUGCAGUUCAAUGCAGCGCAUAGUACCAUAAAUGCAGGACUUUUCUAUGUAAACACUAUAAAAACCCUAUCAAUGCAAUCGAAAGUUGUCUCAGAUGACGUCAUAAGCUACGAGCGAUAACUCACGUCACAUCACAUUUAUCGAUCGCUCAGGUAAAGUUUGAUAGCGCCGUGUAAUUCACGCCAAGUGAUUUUUAUCAAAAUUGCCAUGGAAUUAAUCCAUAAGUGUACAACAGGCAUUUUUUCUGUAUAAAACUCCAGUUUUAGGAAAAUCAUCGUACUUGACCUUUAAGAAAUAUAUCAGGCAACUGACCAAGGCUAGACAAAUACAAAUAUCCGAAGUAUUAUGCUCUAUGAAACACGUCUGCUCGCCCAGAUAGUUUACAGGUUUAUAUGAGAGAGAGAGAGAGAGAGAGAGAGAGAGAGAGAGAGAGAGAGAGAGAGAGAGAGAGAGAGAGAGAGACUUUGAGUCCCACCUAAACUCCACCCCAAAUCACUAUAUCGUUUUAAUUUUGUAUAAUUUGUACGAUUUAUGAGAUAAAAAUAUAGAUGUAGAUAUCAUCCAUAUCGUCCGUGAUUGUCCUACUAAGGAUUUAAAAUUCUUUGGAUACAACAUUGGAUCAGCCCAUUUGAUGAACAGAACAUGUCGUAAUCACGCUCCCUAGAAAACAUUAUUAGCAACCCAAAACAAUAAACGUGUAUUAAAAUUGCAGUGUCAAUACCCUUGUACAUUUAAUGUAUAUUGGCAAACUGUUUAGAUCAUUAUUACAGCCAUAACAUUUGCGAAAUGCUGACAUUAAAAUAGACACCCUGCAUCAUCAACUUGUUUGUCAAUAGCCUAUCUCGAUUUACAAACAGACCAUAUACAGAACAAGCUCUUGCAUAUCGAAUAUUAUCUUCACCUUUCAUUGAAGUAUCAUUCUUUCUUUUGACUAAAUAACACUAAGUAACUUCAUUUGGGAUUAUUUCAACUUUCUCAUCGUCAACUUCCCAAUUUAUGUAGCAAUAUUUCAUUAUUAUCUGCAUAUGGUAUUUAUAUCUGUCAACUGAUUAUAUACACAAGAGCUUGUUCUGCAUAAGGUCAGUUAUUAACUCGAAGCAAGCUACUGGCAAACAAGUUGAUGGUACAGGGGUUUCAACAGUCUCGUUUAAAGUCAGCAUUUCGCAAAUUCUAUGGUCAUUAUAGUGGGGUUUAUCCAAUGUGGAUAAACCUGGUUAUUUUGUGCAGGUCAUAUUCAAACAUGCAUAAUUCUUACUGUUGUAAUUAAUUUUGAUCGGGUUCAGUAUACUAGCUUUCAACUUCCUUUAAUCUGAGCAUGUCAUCUAUAUUAUUCCUUUCCCUUUCGUAGUUUGACAGGUGCAGACGCACAAUUAUUUUUUCCAUUGUAAUCUGUUGUAAUCCUGCGAGUUUUGGUCAGUUAAAACAGAGAUGUUCCGGGCAGCAAGGAAAACAAAAGAAAAGAGUCCGUAUCACAGGACAAAAGCAGUGAAUCCGACCGUAAAUUACCGUCCUAGAAAUCGGCGAGUAGCAGCUACAGUGACUCGUGCCAACUCCUUCAUAUUGCAACCCAAUGAGACACAAAAUGCAGCUCCGGGUUCGAGACUGGCAAUGUUCCAAGAUGCUGUUCCGGCGGUUAUGCAGAGUGCGGCACCAUUGUUGUUACCAAAUAGGCCUACAGCACCGGCGGUGACGCGGUCGGGAUUCAGCUUGCUUCGAACCCAUCUACAUUGACUGCCUUAACUUUCCAGUAUUCGGGUACAAAUAGUCCAGGUAGGGUCAAUUAUGACCCUUUAGAUAACUUGCCGAAUCCUUUUAUUAGUGUAGCUUCUCCACUUGCUGCUCAUGUGCCACAAAACACAAGAGAAAAAAUAUUUAAUAAUCUGUUCUAAUGAUCCUACGGCAACUCAGCAAAAUCAAGUGGUAUUUGAGGAUGGUAUUUUCCAAGUAAAACGAAAACGAAGAGACCAAAGAAUUUCAAAUUUUUCACAACGGCUGGAUGUCUUUUCGAUAUUUGCUUCAGUAUACUUAACAAAAUACAAGUCUCAAGCAAUCCCAAUGUUUAGAUAUAUGACACUGAUAAAGAGGGGGUUGGAAAAUUGAGAGGUAAUUUGUUAAUCUAUGACAUUCAGUUUCGGCUGAAAAAAUUGUACAAUACAUCCUUAUGCUGGGCAUCAGUUGAUGCGAAAUUGUUGAUGAUUUACAUGCAAUCAUCCCCUUCCACAAAUUUAGGAUCUUGUCAGCCAGACCGCAAGUACAGUGCAAAUGUUAUGCUUACAAAUAUGCAUCUUCGUAAGCCAAGUGUCCGAUUCGCGUACUCUCAUCUACCCCUUAGCAGAUUUAGUCAAGUUUCUAACCCUUAAAAAUAUCACGCUUUGACUUUCCAUGGCAUCCAAUCAGAUCGCGUCAUACAUACACUUUCGGUUUGAGUAAUGACGACCUCCAUGUCUAGCCCGUGUUGUCGCCUUUGCCAUGGAAUUUUGUCCAAAAAACAAAGACGAAUGAUCUUUGGAGAAAGCUUUGGCGUGUAUGAUCAACUGCUAGAAAUAAUAGAUCAGAUUCCUCACCAAAAUGACGAAAAAAGGAAGUACAUCUACGGCAUGUAUUAGAAUAAACUAAACAGACUGAAUAAAAUCGAAUACGACAUAAAAACAAAAUUAGAACAGUUCAAAUCUGAAAGGCAUGAUUUGAUACGCGAUUUACGCAAGGGGGACAUAAGUGUACAACAAGUAUUUACACCUAAAUCCAAAAAAAACCCAUUUAAUUGUUCACUCGCGAACACCGAGGAAAAUAAAACAGCUGUUCACUGAAUCCAAGUCCACUCAGCUGACGGAUACUCCAACAUCAUCAUCGAAUCCUGUGACCGACGACAAAGACAGGAAGAAAAUGAACAUUCAGCUUUUCUCUCCCAGUAAAAUCAAGGGUGAAUCCCACCAGAAAACAUCCAAAGUAAUCUACAAUUCCACUUUACAAGACAACAUCUAUAACUGUGUGAUCAAAGUUCUCAGAAAGGAAAUGAACAAGCUUUCAUCUACCAAGACUAUGUCAUGUCUGAGAAAGACAUCAAGUGACAAGUUAGCAACGAUUAACUUCGAGUCAUGGAAUUUGGAGCUACAGUUAGAGAUUCCCCGUUAUUGUAUAAGAUAAUAUCUGGUUCCUUUAAUCCCCAUAAUCAUGUUGCAGUGGCAGAGAUCGCUGCUGUUAUCUAAACGAAUCGAGUUAUGCACAUGUUUGCCUUUCAUCAUGCAGUAACUCAAGUUUUGGAUAAUGGUGGAACAACGGAUGAGUGCAUAAAUCUUCUCAGCAAGUUGGGUCUUUGUCACCAUCUGCUGCGGCAAAGAAGUCUUUUGAUAGCAAGGUAAACUGACCACAGACAACGACUGAUGAUGUCCGAAUAGAAAGCCCUAAAAAAUACAGGUGAGGAUUGCGUUACAUCCAUAUCAGAAGCUGAGAACAGCAUAUUCAUUCCAAGUAUUGAAGAUUGCAGGUCCCUAGAAUAUAAUUUUGUUCACCAUAUUAUUAAGGUGUUGGUGAAAUAUUUUCCCUGCUUUCAAAUGAAAGAGCAUAUUCUGCACAGUUAGCUAUUUUAAAUGGAGCUAUAGAUCUUGAACUGAUAGCAGGUGUCAUACAUAGGCCAGAAGGACUGCAUAGAAUGAUGAAUCUAUGUCUGGUAACAGAUUAACCCCCUCUUGACGUUCAAUUUGAAGUUACAGUUCAAGGUUUCAAAUAUGUCAGGUAGACAUUUUUUUCAAGUUUGUUUUACCAUUGUAUAGUGUCUUCUGGAGCUUUUAGUCCUUAAAAAUUCAUUGUUUUUUUUUAAAAACUAGAUUAGAAGAUUUUUCUCAGUAUUUGGGUGGGGUGGUAUUUUAGUAUAUUGCUUGGUUCUGAAUGAUUCAAUUAUGGCCAUGUGACCUUUAUCUUAACCAGAACAGUCAGUAAGGUCAUGUUGGUUUUGAGGUACAUCAGUAUUAUGUGAAUUCAUUUUCAAUUAUAUCCUGAUCAUUUGGGACUAGGUUGGGGCCAAAAAUCAGAGGUUAACAUUUUUAUGGGAAUAAAUAUUGAUUAAAAUUCUUUUAAAAUUACAACUGCUUGCCAACGACAGGACCAAGGUCACUCAGGUGAGUGAUGUGGCCCCUUGUCCAUUUAUACAGUAUAGCUACAGAGGACAAAUGGUUUUAUUGUUUGCUGUGGGACAUGCUUACUUAUCGGUGCAUAAACUAAUAUUUCAGUUUCAAUUCAUUUAUGGAAUUUUAUUUCAUGCUGUAGAUGUUACUGUCUAAUUAGAAUUAGCUGAUUUGAAUUUUGAAUCUGCAACUGCUUGGUAGCAGAUUCAAAGCAGCUAUUUAGAUUUUAAUUAGAUUGUAGAUGUUCAAUUUUAUUGUUUUUAUUGCAUGUUAUAUUACAUUUGAUUUUAGUUUUAAUAUAGUUAGGUUGUUUACUAGAAUAACAUGCAUUGAAUAAAAUGCUGCAUGUUCUCUUCUCUGAUGUACUGUUGAAUGACCAACAACAUUAAUUUUUAAAUGAUGCCAUUUGAAUGAUAUUGA
Long non-coding RNA from Ostrea edulis (European flat oyster), 5001 nucleotides. RefSeq lists it as uncharacterized. The record is from RefSeq and is a predicted model, not a curated record. Lineage: Eukaryota; Metazoa; Mollusca; Bivalvia; Ostreida; Ostreidae. The transcript is spliced from 3 exons.